CUACGGGAGGCUGCAGUGGGGAAUAUUGGACAAUGGGGGAAACCCUGAUCCAGCAAUGCCGCGUGUGUGAAGAAGGCCUGCGGGUUGUAAAGCACUUUCGGUUGGGAGGACUGCUUCUAGCACUAAUAUUGUUGGAAGUUGACGUUACCUUCAGAAGAAGCACCGGCUAACUCCGUGCCAGCAGCCGCGGUAAUACGGGGGGUGCAAGCGUUAAUCGGAAUUACUGGGCGUAAAGCGCGCGUAGGCGGCUAGAUCAGUCGGGUGUGAAAGCCCCGGGCGUAACCUGGGAACUGCAUCCGAUACUGUCUAGCUUGAGUACAGGAGAGGAGAGUGGAAUUCCACAUGUAGCGGUGAAAUGCGUAGAUAUGUGGAGGAACACCAAUGGCGAAGGCAGCUCUCUGGCCUGAUACUGACGCUGAGGUGCGAAAGCGUGGGGAGCAAACAGGAUUAGAUACCUGCGUAGUC
This 465-nucleotide ribosomal RNA is filed under the name uncultured bacterium. RNAcentral's name for it is "partial 16S ribosomal RNA". It matches the Rfam family "Bacterial small subunit ribosomal RNA", at positions 339 to 795 of the family's 1533-position model. The record is from RNAcentral.